RNAcentral lists this non-coding RNA (19 nucleotides) under Mus musculus (house mouse). The record is from RNAcentral. Lineage: Eukaryota; Metazoa; Chordata; Mammalia; Rodentia; Muridae.
ACAUGCGCAGAUUAUUUGU